Molecule: long non-coding RNA, 449 nt
Filed under: Dromaius novaehollandiae (emu)
Lineage: Eukaryota; Metazoa; Chordata; Aves; Casuariiformes; Dromaiidae
Description: lncRNA (ENSDNVG00000005617.1)
Source: RNAcentral
UUUCCACGGCUUGACCAAGGAGCAGGCAUCUGAUGCAGACAUUUGGCUGUCUCUGCGUACAUAUAUAUACACACAAAUGUUACUUAAUGCCUCUUUCUUMAAGAGUAAGGAGCCGGCUGUGAGCUUUCCAGGUGUURUCUGCUGGGUUGGAUUUCCUGUCCCCAUCACUGACCACCAGCUGGACCUCCAUACCAUCUCGUCUUGAAAGUAAGAGGCUCUGAGCAGCCUGGGGAUGAGCAGAAAACAUCAUUCUCUGGUAUCACGGGUAAACUGAAACCCAAGGAAGAGUCUGCUUUGCUUUCUCUCCGCCGCGCCAAAUGCAUCAGCUAAUCUGGUGAUCUCCUGCCUUCGGAGAUGGACUAAAUGGAUGAGACCAUGGAAUUCAAAUGCACCUUUAGCACUGCUCAUUUCCUAAUUCACCAGCAAUAAAGUGGUCAUUGCUGAUGACA